GACAGAGGAAGAGCCGCUGCUGCCGCUGGCUGCACCGCGACCGCUGCGGGCGCGGUUGCGAGCAAACCACCGCCGAUCACGCCAGCUUGUCCAACCGCCAGCAAGCAACCACAAAUCACCAAGAACUGAAAAACAAAGAAUCGAAACGGUACAACGAAGUUAUACCAGUUAUUAAGUAUCUUAAACGAAAACUACAGGGAAAGAAGACGAUGAAUCAUUUUGGUGCACCGUCAUGACAACAUUGUUUUUUCAUUCGGUUUCGAAGUUAAACGGCGGGCUUUCUCCGGCUCUUCGUAACGUUAGAAACGUUGCUUGGUAUGGUAGGAGCUGCUUUCUUCACCGAUUGGAAACGACAAACGAAUUGAAUGCAUCUAGUGGAUUUGUCAGCCUAUUUAUACGUAACCUCUUGUAAUCCUGUCCAGAUAGUUAACUUGAAACAUUUUUUCACCAAAAACUUGGUAUCAAGUGUCCGUCGACCAAAGACCAGCGUAUUGCAUAGAAGGUUUGCAACGAACCGGCAUUACAACACAUGCAUAUGACUAGAGAAAAUUUGAUAUCGUAAAACUCAAGUAGCAGAUUGCACUGUGAUCUUUCUAAAGAAGAUUUUUACUAUUCGACUAGCACGAAACGAAAUCGAUAACCAAACCACCAGCGAGACAAAGAAAUGGGGAAGGUGGAAUGAAAAAUACUAAUUAAACGCGUUAGAGAAUACGUAUAAUUUCGUUAGCUUGUGUCGUUAAAUGUGUGUUAUAACAAAACACCGAUAUGUAAAUAUACACCGAUUGAAAAGUAAAAAGCAGACAGAUACCCUGCGCAAUUACUCAAUGUGAAUGUAUCUCAAAUUGCAACUGAUAUGCCUUGGUAUCCAGGUAUACUAUAGAAUUACAGCUUAGCCAUCGUAUAAAGAAUCGUACGUUUGACAAAUAUCGCGUAGGAUAUACAUGGAUAAUAGCAAACUAUUGAAAAGAUUGUUGUAAUCUUUAUGGCUGAUGAUUAGCGGUUCGUGUCUCAAUCUAUCGAUUGGGGUUAGGUUGCAUUCAAGAUCGUAUAUACAAUAUCACUGUUAUAAAAUUCAAACUGACUUUAAUGCUAUUCAUUCGUUGUUCUUUCCAAAUUUCAAAGACGUUCAAGUCAAUCCUGCUACGAUCCUCGAAUAUAUACGUAUACACUACACUAAAAAAUUAAAAGAUCUUUAAAUUUUGAUCGAAAACUUGUCGAUAUUUGAACCAAUGUAACUUUGUCGAUAAGAAUCGUACAAUACUCUACUUGAGCUCGUUUCAAAGGACAAAUCGUCUACUUUCACGCCCUUAAACGUUAAUUUUGUCAAGGAUUCUUUUUUGUUACGAAAUAGAGUAGGAAAUUAAAGUUUUAUUUGUUUCCUUUUUCAAAUUUUAAUUUCGUAUUGUUUAGUAGUACAUGUGCACUUUUGUAUGAUUACAAAAAUUUUAUACUAUAAAAAAUGAAACGAAAAACCCUGCCAGAGGCACUUCAUUGGGAAAUAAUGUGUCAAUACUUUUUGUAACAUCUGUGUCCAUUUCAAUGUAUACUAGAAAGAACUGAUGCUACAAUGAAUAAGAUUCAAGAAUCAAUUAUUUCGUUCUAACAUAUCCUGUUGCGUGUAUAAAGAUGCGAGUAUUUUGUCUAUUUCAAUUAAGUUACCUUAUCUUGAAUCCGUUAAUAAAGUCAUAUUUGGUUCCAAGUAAUUUGGAAAAAAAUUCUGCGAAAACGUGAAUGUAAGUAGCUUCGCAAGAUCAAAAAUAACAAAAAUGGGAAACGAGGGCGUGGAGAGUAGAAGGGGUAGAAGGCGACGCGACGGAAAGAAUAAACAAGUACAAAGUGAGAGGGAACGCGAUCAGACGACCACUGCCGGUUGCAGUUGUUACGCAAUUGACAUUGGCAAAUUGUAACAGAACAAGCACGGCCAAGAACUUCGAGAUUUCAUAAGCACGCCGGAGGCGAAGGAGUGUAUUAUAAUUUGGUAAGAUGACGUAGCAAAAUGACUUGUUCGUUUUCUAAAUCUUUAGCCAUUAAUAAUUUAUAUGUAUCUCCCGCGUUCAACAUGAUAGUCACAAUUUCUAAUAAAAAGAAUAACGAAA
This is a long non-coding RNA of Bombus terrestris (buff-tailed bumblebee), 2096 nucleotides long. RefSeq lists it as uncharacterized. The record is from RefSeq and is a predicted model, not a curated record. The transcript is spliced from 3 exons. Lineage: Eukaryota; Metazoa; Arthropoda; Insecta; Hymenoptera; Apidae.